RNAcentral lists this ribosomal RNA (597 nucleotides) under uncultured fungus. RNAcentral describes it as "partial 18S ribosomal RNA". It matches the Rfam family "Eukaryotic small subunit ribosomal RNA", at positions 106 to 374 of the family's 1831-position model. The record is from RNAcentral. Lineage: Eukaryota; Fungi.
AUACNAUUACACCGAGAAGCGNGGUCAUCUANAUAUCUUUUAUUUUAUAUCACUUUACCUUCUGCAUAUCCGUGGUAAUUCUAAACCUAAUACAUGCUCAAAACCCCGACCUCGGAAGGGGUGUAUUUAUUNGAUUAAAAGCCAACGCCCUUCAGGGCGCCCUGGCGAUUCAACCCAACUUCUCNAAUAUCAUGGACUUGCACCACCGAUGGGUCAUUUUCNUUUCCUCCCUAUCAAUUUUCUGUGCCACGACCAUGUCCCCGGUGGUUCAUAAUAACUUGAUCGGAANUUACGGUGGCUUAUAUUUGUUAUUAUAAUCUUCGGAAUUUAAUAGCAAAUAUAAGUCGGCGACGAUUCAUUCGAAUUUCUGCCCCAUCAACUCUCGAUGGUAGGAUAGAGGCCUACCAUGGUCGCAACGGGUAANGGGGANUGGGNUGCGGCAAGUCUUCUAUGCAUGUGUUAGCGAGCGAAUUGCACUGUUAUUGUUGGAUGUAGUUUACGUUNAGUNAUUNAUGGCUGAUUCGNUGAGCCNUGCGCGGGANUACANGNGAUGGNUNGGACUUNCAUGCAUGGUUCNUUGAGACGCAUAUGACUACA